RNAcentral lists this long non-coding RNA (318 nucleotides) under Pan troglodytes (chimpanzee). RNAcentral's name for it is "lincRNA". The record is from RNAcentral. Lineage: Eukaryota; Metazoa; Chordata; Mammalia; Primates; Hominidae.
AUGUGUUGCAACUACUACGGCAACUCCUGUGGCUAUGGCUCCAGCUAUGGCUGUGGCUAUGGCUCUGGUUAUGGCUGUGGCUAUGGCUCCAGCUAUGGCUGUGGCUAUGGCUCUGGUUAUGGCUGUGGCUACGGCUCCAGCUAUGGCUGUGGCUAUGGAACUGGCUACAGCUGUGGCUAUGGCUCUGGCUCUGGCUGUGGCUAUGGAACUGGCUACGGCUGUGGUUAUGGAACUGGCUAUGGCUGUGGAUGUGGCUCUGGCUCUGGCUACUGUGGCUACCGGCCAUUUUGCUUUAGAAGAUGCUAUUCUUCCUGCUAA